AUUUUCCUAGUAUAAAAAGUAUAACUAACUUCCAAUUAGUAGGUUUGAUAAUAAUCAAGAAAAAUA
This 66-nucleotide transfer RNA is filed under the name Colemania sphenarioides. RNAcentral's name for it is "tRNA-Gly". The record is from RNAcentral. Lineage: Eukaryota; Metazoa; Arthropoda; Insecta; Orthoptera; Pyrgomorphidae.